CUGCGAGUGAAGCGGCAAAAGCUCAAAUUUGAAAUCUGACGUCUGAUCGGGCGUUCCGAGUUGUAAUUUGGAGGAGCGGCUUCGGGAGCGGCACCGUCUCAAGUUCCGUGGAACCGGACGUCACAGAGGGUGAGAAUCCCGUGUCUGGACGGGCUAGCCUGUUCCCAUGCGAAGUGCUUCCGACGAGUCGAGUUGUUUGGGAAUGCAGCUCAAAAUGGGUGGUAAAUUUCAUCUAAAGCUAAAUAUUGGCGAGAGACCGAUAGCGCACAAGUAGAGUGAUCGAAAGAUGAAAAGCACUUUGAAAAGAGAGUUAAAAAGUACGUGAAAUUGUUGAAAGGGAAGCGCUUGAGAUCAAAACUCGGUCUUUGGUGAAGCGUGCGAUUUAGCUCGUAGCCUCUCCCUUUGACCGGGCCAGCAUCGGUUUUGAUGGCGGGAGAAACGGUAGAGGAAUGUGGCUCUCUUUGGAGAGUGUUAUAGCCAAUACCACAUACCGCCAGUCGAGACCGAGGACCCCCCGCGCUACGGCUAGGAUGCUGGCGUAAUGGUCUUCAGCGACCCG
This 559-nucleotide ribosomal RNA is filed under the name Octospora hygrohypnophila. RNAcentral's name for it is "partial large subunit ribosomal RNA". It matches the Rfam family "Eukaryotic large subunit ribosomal RNA", at positions 87 to 651 of the family's 3401-position model. The record is from RNAcentral. Lineage: Eukaryota; Fungi; Ascomycota; Pezizomycetes; Pezizales; Pyronemataceae.